CGGAAGCCGCCUCGGGUUUUCUAGCGGAGCGCCGGAUUAGGCAGUCCCCGCCCCGGUGCCCCUGAUUGGGUAGGGCCUCAGGCCCCGCCCCCUCAGACUCUUAGUGACAGGUGACAGCUCCCGCGCGUGUCUGAAUGAGGCAGCGUUCUGGCUACAGCUCUUCUCCAAGAGGGUUUCCUCUCUGGGUUGGGACCCAGCCUUGCCUAGGGGACAUUCAUUUAUAUACACUUAACCUUGUAUACAAUGUUACAUUCAUUUGUGAAUAAUAUAUAUGAUAUUUAAAAUAGGAAACAAUAUAAUAAUAAUUCUUUUAAAAUUUCAGACUUAUUAACCUUCAUGGCCUCUGGUCUUCUGAGGUGGUACUAAAUCUUUCAAAGUCACUCUGCGUUUUAAACUUCCAGCAUGUACCGAUUCAGACCAGCCACAUUCUAGGUGCUAAGUAGACCCCUGUCACGGGAUACUUUUUUUUCAAAGAACACAUUAAUUGCAUGUAAAAUUGCUUGUGGAUUUGUGUAAAUGGUUUUUCAUUCUAGUACACUCCUCUUUUCUUCAGAGGUGUCGAUUAAGCUCAAGACUUUAUAAUCAGUCUUUCGUUUCUUGUUCAUUCAAUGGUAAAUUUUUCCCAUCAUUAUUCAUAAUUAUGUAAAUACCUGGGACUUACAAUAUUUAGAAUAGUCCGAGGUGAAAGCCAACAUAAGGAUGAACUUGAUCUGCAUUAUCUGUUUCCUGAGAGGGCUCGGGAGCUUCACCCUCAGCCCCAGCCACCCAUGGCUGUCACUUCUCACAGUGAGGGCUGAGAUGUGCAUUUAGAUUGAUCAGUUUUUAAUGUAUCAGGUAGGACCCAAUAGUCCUUUGCACUCUGACCCACCUACAGAUAAGCUCUCUGAUUAUGUUCUUCUAUAUUGUUUCUCCCAGGUCAGUACCAUAUUAUUGUAAAUCCUGUGAUUCAUAGUGAAGUUGCCAGAUUCAUCAAGUAAAAAAUAGGACAGAAAAUUAACUUUAAAAUUUAAAUAAACGACAAAUGACUUUUGAGUGCACAAAUAUGUCUUUGUCAAUGAUCAGUAGUUAGAUUCUGAGAGAUAAAUUUCCAAAAGGAAUAAUGAAAAUAAUAUACUUUAGCUGUCAAUUCUAAUCCACAGUAUUGUGAUCCUUCCUUGUGCAGUCUCAACACCAAUGACCUCAAGAGACUUGUUAGAGAGAGACUCCAUCUGAUGAUUCAGCAGAUAAAGUAUUUUUCAGCAUGUGAUUGUUAUUUGUAGAGAGAAGGGUGUGAAAUACAUGGGGUGAACUAAAUAUAUCUUAAGAGAAUAAAACAUCAGAUUUCCUAUUUUAUCUCUUUCUGUUAUAUGGCUUCCAUGUGUUUUAUUAACAAAUUUAUAUGGACAUGUAGUUUAUAAAUAAUUGCACAUAUAUUAAUAGUCCACAUCCAAGUAUUCUUUUACUGGAGCUAUAAUCCCCAAAAGAGAGACCAUUAAGCCUUUAAAUCAACGAUAUCCUGGCUCUUUUCCUGGUUUUAUCAUGACAGCAAAACCAAGUUGUGCUGAGGGUUAAGGUGCGUGUUCAUGGAACUGUCAGUUGUUUGGUUCUGGAAGUGUGUUCCUUUACUAAGAUUUUGCAGAUGUAUUAGCAAUCAUUUCAACAUAUGAGGUUGAAAUGAUUGGCUCAUACAUAUGAGGUUGUUUUAGAGAAAUUUUCUACCUUAGCCGUUAAUUUCUGAGUAAGAGCCAAAAAUACUAAUUGUCACCAUUUCUGCAUUGAGAUAUCUACAUCUACCUAAUCUAUCACCGAUAGCUCCGUACAUGGGAUGGUAUUGUGAUAAGUGACCUUUAAAAUAUAAUUGGACAGCUGCCAUCUCAGAAAAAAACUGAGCGGUGUGGAAUGGUUUUCUAAUUUUUUGUAUCGUUAAGUUGACUUGUUCUAAUCACUGGAUUAAUUUGAUAAAACAAUUAUGCCUGCACCUUGGCCAGUAACAUUAGAGAGUAAUUUCAAAAUUGCUCAGUGAAAUUAUGCCAGGUGUUCUGAUAUUACAGAUAUCCUAAUAAAACUAGAGGGAAACUACCUUUAUUAUUGGAGAAAUAAGUGUUUUCAAAGCAAAAGAGGAGAUCUCUGUAUUAAGUGGAAUCUCAAGAAAAGGAUCAACAUUUGAUCCUUUUGAUGCGACUUUAUGGUUGUCACAAGUGAUUACAACUAGUGUUAUUCUCUUGACAAUUCAGAGCUGGACACUGGGGAUCCUCUGUUGAGAUGUAGGUAAUUUAUUUUUGAGAUGGAAACUAAACUGAAAGAGAGCCAGAGCCAUUUUUAUGUGAUACAGCUAAUAGGGUUUGGUAAGCACAAUAAUGCCCUCCAAAGGUGUCCAUGUUCUAAUUCUCAGAUACAGCAAAUAUACAUUCCAUGGCAAUGGGUAUGAGAAGUUGCACAUGGGAUCAAAAUUGCUAAUUUGUUGGUGAAAAAUAAGGAUACUAUCCUGAAUUACUAUGGUAGGUUCAAACGUCUAAUCAUAAAGGUUCAAAAUGUGAGAGACGAAGAAUUAAAAGCGUUGAAAGAUCGGCAUGUCAGAAAGACAACUAGAUAUUAUUUUUUUCCAUUGUUUUGGUGAUUCUUUCCCUAUUAGCAUAAAUUUUAUUCAGUUCCACUGUGCACAUAUGAUUGGGUAAUUUUAUAUAUUUGUAGCAUCGAUGUGCUAAAUAUAAAAUAAGAAUGCAGAACAAAGAUACGAUUUCUAAAGAGGGAUGCCCAGGUACCAUGGGUAUCUAUACCCAGGAAUAGACAGUGCGCAUCUUAUAAGGGGAAGACUGUGAAUGUGUUGGUAUUUCAUAUACUAAUUGGUGUAGAAAAUGAUGCAGAGGCUGGAUUAUCAAGAAUUUAUAUGAGAUAGGGCUUACCAAGAUUAAGAGGGCAAAACAAUAAAAGUGAUUUGUGAUAAUUUUGACUAAUGCAGAAUUAACAAUGAUGAAGUGAGAUUUUUGGGGGUUUUUCUGAUGUACAAAGCCAAUUUCUGGCCAGGUGAAGUAGCUCACACCUGUAAUUCUAGUGCUUUUGGAGGCCAAGGCAGGAGAAUCACUUUAAAGACAAGCCUGGCAGCAUAGCAAGACUCCAUCCCCACUACACAUUUUUUAACAAUUAGCUUCACCUG
Molecule: long non-coding RNA, 3133 nt
Filed under: Homo sapiens (human)
Lineage: Eukaryota; Metazoa; Chordata; Mammalia; Primates; Hominidae
Description: HSALNT0025434
Source: RNAcentral